GGUUGAUCCUGCCAGCGGUGAUAUGCUCAGAUAAAAGAUUAAGCCAUGCAUGUCUAAGACCACAUUGUUAAACGAUUAAUCUGCGAACGGCUCAUUACAACAGCUAUAAUCUACUUGAUUUUGACAUCCUAAUUGGAUAACUGCGUUAAUUUUGGAGCUAAUACAUGCAUUCAAGCUCUGAUCCUCGUGUGACGAGCGCAUUUAUUAGAUAAAAACCAAUCGGGGCAACCCGUCCAUGGUGACUCUGAAUAACGUAGCUGAUCGUAUGGUCUCGUACCGACGACAGGUCAUU
RNAcentral lists this ribosomal RNA (292 nucleotides) under uncultured eukaryote. RNAcentral's name for it is "partial 18S ribosomal RNA". It matches the Rfam family "Eukaryotic small subunit ribosomal RNA", at positions 6 to 299 of the family's 1831-position model. The record is from RNAcentral.